AAGACGUAGGGAGCGAGCGUUGUCCGGAUUCAUUGGGCGUAAAGCGCGCGUAGGCGGCCACGCAAGUCGGUUGUGAAAUCCCGGGGCUCAACCCCGGGACUGCGUCCGAUACUGCGUGGCUCGAGGCAGGUAGGGGAGAUCGGAAUUCCUGGUGUAGCGGUGAAAUGCGCAGAUAUCAGGAGGAACACCGGUGGCGAAGGCGGAUCUCUGGGCCUGUCCUGACGCUGAGGCGCGAAAGCUAGGGGAGCGAACAGGA
Molecule: ribosomal RNA, 256 nt
Filed under: uncultured prokaryote
Description: partial 16S ribosomal RNA
Rfam family: Bacterial small subunit ribosomal RNA
Source: RNAcentral